GAUGAACGCUGGCGGCGUGCUUAACACAUGCAAGUCGAACGGGAAACCUUUUAUUGAAGCUUCGGCAGAUUUAGCUGGUUUCUAGUGGCGGACGGGUGAGUAACGCGUGGGUAACCUGCCCUAUACAGGGGGAUAACAACCAGAAAUGGUUGCUAAUACCGCAUAAGCGCACAGGACCGCAUGGUCCGGUGUGAAAAACUCCGGUGGUAUAGGAUGGACCCGCGUUGGAUUAGCUUGUUGGUGGGGUAACGGCUCACCAAGGCGACGAUCCAUAGCCGGCCUGAGAGGGUGAACGGCCACAUUGGGACUGAGACACGGCCCAGACUCCUACGGGAGGCAGCAGUGGGGAAUAUUGCACAAUGGGGGAAACCCUGAUGCAGCGACGCCGCGUGAAGGAAGAAGUAUCUCGGUAUGUAAACUUCUAUCAGCAGGGAAGAUAGUGACG
This 445-nucleotide ribosomal RNA is filed under the name uncultured bacterium. RNAcentral describes it as "bacterial SSU rRNA". It matches the Rfam family "Bacterial small subunit ribosomal RNA", at positions 28 to 456 of the family's 1533-position model. The record is from RNAcentral.